UUGGCGUAUCGGUCGUGCAGGUCGAUGCCGUCGAACCUCUGGGGGAACUGGACGUAGCAGGUCUUCUUUCCCAGGGCGGGGUCCAUCAUGAAACACAUGGCCUCCUUCAGCGCCUUGCUGUUGUUGAAGUAGUGGUCACAGUCCACGUUCAGGAGGUAGGCUCCGUUGGUCAGGACGGCGGACACCCGGAUCUGAAUGGCCCAAAGCAAAAGAGAGACGGCACACGUUUCAAUCUUCCGCGAGGGGAGGGGGCACGGCCCGGCAGCGAGACCAAGAGAUCAAUCACUCACCAGGGCGUUCAUGGCGCCGGCCUUCUUGUGGUGCUGGAACCCAGGCCGCUUCUCACGGGAGACGUAGACGAGCCGAGGCAGCUCGUUGCCGUCGGUGUCCAACCCCCCGCUGUGUCCCAGAAAGACCUGCGCGGAGGAAGACGAUAGGAGCACGGAUGAUCAGGACGACCGAGCUCCCAGAAGAAGAAAUGGAUGGGGAGAGAGAGAGAGAGGCGUCACCUGGAUCAUGCCCGGGUGGUCUCGCGGGUUGUUCCCAGGCCAGGGGGUCCCAUCCUGCAUCGUCCAACCUUCUUCGGGGGCCUUCUGGGCCUUCGCUACGAGGGCGUUGAUCCGCACCUUGAACUCUUCGUACUCUCUCUGAGAGACACACGAAGGCGGAUGUCAUGGAUCGAUCGUCCGGCGGACGCAUGGAACGGCAGCGAGAGCAGGGCGAGGUUUCACCUUCAUGGCCCGGCGUUCCUUGACGAACGAAGGCUGGAUCUUGUCCUUGAGGUAGUCGAUCUUCUGGGCGAAGUAGAACUCGGGGGCCCUGGGCUCUAUGCUGUGCUUCUUGCAGAAGGGCACCCACUUCCUGGCGAACUCGGAUGUCUCCGAGAGGGCCUCGAAGGUCAGCAUGGCCGACCCGUCGUCGGAGACAUAGCAGGAGACCUUGUCGACCGGGUAGUCCACGGCGAGGAUCGAGAGCACGGUGUUCGCCGUCACAAGAGGGGGCUCCUUCAGGGGAUCCACCGUACUCACGAACACGUCGAUGGGGGCCAGCUGGGAGGGCUCCCCCUCCCUGUCAUAUCUGCCGAAAGAAGAGAAGCCCCCCAUUCAUCAGCACAGAAUGGGGAGGAAUAAUCCCUGGAGCAUACAGCACGCAGAUAAAACCGUGGCGUUGACCAACCUGAGCGCCAGCCGGUCGAGGUAGGUCUCGCGGUUGAUCGGGUACCAUUUGGGGAACUGGUCGAGCAGCCAGGACAGCGCGAACCAGAUCUCGCAUAUGACGGAGACCAGCCACAGCGCGUAGGCGUUCUUCACUGGGUGGGUGACCCGGUACUGGAAGAAGAAGCCCACGAUGAUGAGCCGGAGGAUGAUGACCACCCGGUAGAGGUUCAGCUGAUUGGCAGGAAUCGGCACGAUCCGGUUCAAGGGCUGCCGAGCAUCGUCGGCCCUGCGAGAAUCCCCAAUCAGAGCGCCGUUUGCAUGCUGCAAUCGCUAAAUCGAGGAGCUGAAAUUGUGGAAUACUGAACAGCAUUGUUGAUAGAUGGUGUUCUAUACAUCUAGCAGGCAUGUCUGAAUCAAAACUUUGCUUAAUUCUUGUUGUUUACACUCUUUAGCCUGAACAGACAAAAUUAUGGAACGCUGAAGAUUGCGAGCAAGUGGGUGUAGUGAAACGUGGGGUUUUUCAGAGACCACCAAGCCAAUAAUAUAUGCAAGAGGUUGCUGAGGCAUGAGAAGGCGUACAUUUGGAUGUCUUCUCCGUUUGAACCGGUUCCCUCGAUAUCUCCUCCUGCCUUUCCUUCCACAUAUUUGCUCGUCACCUGCAUCAUGUUCUUGUCCUGCUUCAGCUUCCAGCUCUCCACUCUUUCCUUCCAGUCGACAUUUCCGAGUCCAUAGGAGUUCAAGUCCUUGGAAGGAUCCACGAUUCUCACCGGAACUGUAGCCACAGGGCCGUGAUCAACGACCGCAAGCUAUGAAGGGCAACAGGGCUGAGAAAGAUUGCAAGAAGAACUCACCCGGCGUGCUUGGAUCCAGAUAAGAUAGGGAGUUAGUUCGCUUCACGCCGGAUCCGAGAGAAUAUGAUGGGCUUUGCACGGACUGGCGAUCGGGGGUGGCCAUGGGAAUCUCCCCAGAAACCUGCGCAAGAAGAGUGGAAACCGGCUUGAGAAACGUGAUGAAGAUUCAAUGGGGUUGUCGAGUCGAUCAUUCGUGCGAAGCCCCUGAAAUGCCGUUGCUGAGAGAAGCCGGAGGGCAAUCUCCUGCCUGUGGGUAUAACUAACCCCGAGGUCGAUGAUUCUAAUUUCCAACAUAUUCAAGAUCGUCUUCUUAAGCUAGGUUUCGCGGAGGGUUGCUUCGAGGGACUGAGAUCCCUUGGAAAUUUACAGAUUCGAUGAAAUUGAUGAGCUCUAGAAUUGAGGCAUUUCCUAGCACAUUCCCCAAUGGUACUCAGGCAUCUCUACGGUGAGAUGAAGAGAACGGUUCCUGUAUUCCCUAAGAAGAAGGGGGAGAAAAAAUCCGGAGAAAUGCAUUAUCUCGUGAACGCAAUAUUCACGACCAAUCUGGUCCAUCCGAGCGCCACUCAAUGGCAAGAUGACCAGGCGGAGCAGGAAAUCCAGCCGACAGCGGAGAAAAUCAGAAGGAGCGCCCUCCAGAUCCGGCGCAAGGAAAGGGGGCGCGAGAAACGACAAUACGUCCUCGCAGAGGCGACGGAAGAUCCGCAGGAGUGAUCGGAGAGGAAUGCUCACCGCACUUUCGCCGUCAUGCCGGAUCGUCGAGAACUCGUUCCUGCUGCGGGAGCCGGCUGCCGCGCCAUCGUUGUGCUCCAUGGCUACUCAGGCUCCUCCUCCCCCCUCCCUUCUUGGUCGCCUUCGUUAACUGGAGACUGACAUCACACGCGAGAGAAGCGCCAGAGCCAGAUCCAGCGCCGGCCUCCCCUCCCCGCCGCUUCCCCCUCUCUCUCUCUCUCUCUCUCUCUCUCUCUCUCUNNNNNNNNNNNNNNNNNNNNNNNNNNNNNNNNNNNNNNNNNNNNNNNNNNNNNNNNNNNNNNNNNNNNNNNNNNNNNNNNNNNNNNNNNNNNNNNNNNNNNNNNNNNNNNNNNNNNNNNNNNNNNNNNNNNNNNNNNNNNNNNNNNNNNNNNNNNNNNNNNNNNNNNNNNNNNNNNNNNNNNNNNNNNNNNNNNNNNNNNNNNNNNNNNNNNNNNNNNNNNNNNNNNNNNNNNNNNNNNNNNNNNNNNNNNNNNNNNNNNNNNNNNNNNNNNNNNNNNNNNNNNNNNNNNNNNNNNNNNNNNNNNNNNNNNNNNNNNNNNNNNNNNNNNNNNNNNNNNNNNNNNNNNNNNNNNNNNNNNNNNNNNNNNNNNNNNNNNNNNNNNNNNNNNNNNNNNNNNNNNNNNNNNNNNNNNNNNNNNNNNNNNNNNNNNNNNNNNNNNNNNNNNNNNNNNNNNNNNNNNNNNNNNNNNNNNNNNNNNNNNNNNNNNNNNNNNNNNNNNNNNNNNNNNNNNNNNNNNNNNNNNNACUAUUUAUUAAUUAUUUUAUCGGACACUCCUCAGGAUCGGAUGGCCCGAAUCGCUUCGUCGGGAGUGGCGGGAAGAUCUGAGCCGUCGGCCCCGCCGAUCGUCACGUGGUGGUAUUGCGCCCGCCCCUCUGACGUGCUCCGCCCAACGACCCUCCCCGGGCAAUCCCCUGCUUUGCAUGCUGUUCGGUGACCUGUCUAUUUACAGACAUGUAGAGAGAGAAAGUGAGAGAGAGAGAGAGGAAGUAGAGAGAGAAGAGAGGAGGUUGGGGUAUUAUUUUCCUGCCAAAGAGAGCGACCGCGCAUCGGCGCGAAUAGACGCGCCACUUGCCACCCAUCAUCGUCUCGUCACUAGAGAGAGAGAGAGAGAGAGAGACAGAGAGAAAGGAGAGAGAGAGGGGGAAGAAGAUCUUGAUCUGCGGCCGUCGGUUUUGGCCGUGAUCACUCAAUCUGAUGUGGGGAGCACCGUCCGGAGCCCAGCGGGCGCAAAAUUGGAUCGGGGGCGUACAAAUUCGCGUUGUCGCUGGUCAGGGUUAUUGGGCCAAAUGGGCCUCCUUGAGACCGUUAUCCACCAGCCAUCUCUUAUGUGGCCCAGAGGUGACCCCCCUUUGUUGACUGCAGAGGUGUGUUGUGUGGUGUGUAAGCACACAAGAGCUCAAGGCAAAAGCCCUACACAAUCAACGUGGUAGUGACAUGAAUGCAUAGAUGUGCCAGUCAAAGUAAACUAUGCACAUUAAGUAAACAACAUACAUUAUGUCAACCGGUCAAAUGGGUUGUGAUAGCUGUGUUACACUCCCCCCCCCCCCCCCUCCAAGUGGGUGUGUUACCACCGCAGUCUAGAAACAACUCUAAAGCUAAGUGUGCCUAGUAACAUGCAGGUCUUGUCAAAACAUCAACUCCAAUCUAUAAGAGUGAGCUCUUAUACUCUCAUUUGAUAAGUUGAAUACUUUGAACUAAAUGCCUUCUCCAAUGUAAAUUAUGGUCUUUUAGAUGUUUGUGAAGAUGCCCAAGAUUAACUAAUGAUGGUAGAGGUGAAGUGAGCACUUUAACAUUGUUGUAAUUAGCAUCCAAAUUUUUAAAUAAUGGGAAGAGAGAGAGAGAGAGAGAGAGAGAGUGAGUGAGUGAGAGUAAUCAUACUCCUCAACUCAAUCCAAGCUAUUGAAGAGCAAGUGUUCAUACUACGUUAUUCAUUUGAAAGCAUGGAGGAGUAUUCCAAUCUUUAAAGGAGCAAUUGAAAGGCAUUUAGAGUAUUGUAGUGAGGAAUUCACAUUGGAAUCAUGGGCUACCUAAAUAUGAGUGUUCAAUCCUUAUGGACUAACUAAGAAAAAUACAACCUAUAAAUCUAGCAUGGGGCGCAAAAAAGGUUUUGAUCCUUUUGUUAUAGGAGGAAUAAUUUAUCAUCAUAUUUCACUAGAAACAUCGGACAUAUUAAUGGGUCUAUUACAUCUCUAUCUAUCCACCUCAAUGUCUAUACAAAGGAUUUCAUAUGAGAAAUUAAGAAAGGAGCAGGAGGAAAGGAUGCAUGAGACACUAAAAUCUCUUGUUGUUGACACUAAAAGUGUUCUAAUGACAAGUGACAUGUCCCAUCAAAGGGUCCCUAAUCUAGUAGCAUUUAGAUUUAAAACAUUAGUUUAAAAUGAUAUACACAUAAGAGUGAAACAUGCACCUCUUAAAUCAUGUAAAGUCACUUUAGUAAUCAAAGCUUAGAAGGAUAUAAUAUACUUCAUAAUAAUCUCAAUAGAUCAUGUCACAACUAUAGUAAGUAUAAAUUUUCUCAUCAUAGGUUAAAUAGUAAUUACUAUUUAAUUAUAAGAUAAUAUCUCUUCUAAAAAACUAAAACAUUAUGUUUUGAAAAAAUUAAUAAUCAAGUACUCAUGACUAGAGAUAUUGUUCAUCACUCAACCUAAGCGUGAAUUAAGAAAGGGUUAAAUAAUAUUGUUGUCGCCUUAUAAGAUUGUGACAUGAUACUUACAUGUGUCAAACAUGACAUCGACUAUCACUCAAGAUGUGGAUGUGUCACAUAUUCAAUUCAAUGUAAGUAUCUUAUGUUGGGCUUUAGGCAAAGCUAAGGUCAAGAAAAGGGGGUUGAAGUGACUAGACAUCUUCUUUUGAAGGACUUUUUUUUAUAUAUCAUUUAAUAUUUUUUAUUAUGUUAACUAUUUUUAUUCAAAAUUAGUUUACAUUCAUUAUUCAAAAACAUACCUUAUUUUUUAGUCUCACUAAUUAGAUCAACUAAUUGCACCAAAUGAUUACAAUGACUCAAUUCUUAUAGAAUUUCUCACAUAAAAGUUUCUUCUAAAUUCACAACUCUAUGCAAGCCAAAUCAAUAUUUAACGAGACUACUCUCACAUUUGAUUAAUUAAAUAUAUAAUUAACCCAAUAAGUGUAGAUAAUGUUGAGUUUGAUUUUGGAAGAUGAUCAUUGUGUGUUCUAGUUUUCAACAAUACAAUAUGAGUGUAUAAUAUUUUAUUUGUCUUCUUACUAUCGAUUUUGAUGGAUGUGUGAUUGAAGACUUCAGCCUUGAACAACUCGAGGAGAGACUUUUGAUAUAUCGUAAAUGUUUCUUAAGAGAAUGUAUUCAUGAUCCAUGUACAACUAGCAGUUCUUCUUAGAAUAUUUAGAAUGGUAAAAAUAGUUGUUAUUUAGUUCUUUUCAUUAGAGAUUAGUUAUAUUAUAAGUAAAUCAUGUAUAAGUUUUUCAAUAUUCUCUAAUUUCUAUAUUUAUUUUAAAUAUAAUUUAAUUCAAAAUUACUAUGAAACUAAUAUGACAUGUCAUUUCAUUUUUAAAUAUUUUUUGAAGAAACCAACACAUGAAUCAUUAUAUAAUGUUACAUUAUUUUACUUAAUUAUGAUAAGAAUCUAAUAAAGUCCAUAAUGAAUCUAAUAAGACAUGUCUUAUAAAAGUAAUGAUUUCUCAUUCAAAUGUUAUUCAAAUUCAAUUAAAUAAGAUAUGAAAUUAAAGCUUAUUUUUAAAUCACAAUCUUAAUAUUUCAAAUCAUUGCGUAUCUAUUGAGAGUAAUUUUAUAAUUUUUAAUAUAUAAUUAAUUAUAUUCAAAAAAUAUUAUUAUAUGAAAAACAAUACUCAAUCGAUAAUUUGACUAAAUCGAUAUUGAAUUCAUUUGCUCAUAUUAAAGUAAAAUCAUAAGAUUAUAAGUUAUUUAUUAAGUUGUCAUAUUUAUAUUUUACUUCAUCAAAAAAUUUUUAUUUACAUAUUCAAAUUAUAAUUUUCUAGAUUUAAGGAUUUAUGUAACUAAUGAUGAUCUACACAUUAACACGUAAGAUGACGAAUUCUUAUAAUAUUGUGACACAACUAUAUUGAUGCAUAAUAUGAGUUUUUUAUAUAUUCAAUUAAGCUUUCAUUUGUAUGUCUAAAAUCAUGAUUUGAAUAAUAUACAUAUUUAUGGAAAUUUUUAUAUUCAUGUGUAUAUAAUUCAAGAGACAUGUACUUCUUAUAGAGUAGAAAUGGAUGCACCACAAGUAGUUAUAAAGUCAUAUGUUAGACAAUAAUUCAAAUUUAUGCUCCUUGUCUCUCUAAAAUUUAUUGCAAGUCAUAUACAUCACUACUAAAUACUUAUCAAUCAUUGUUGACUUUGUUACAUAUAUAAUUUUGUGCAUGCUGGAGGCAUUAAGGUGACAUAUUUUGAUCAUUAGAAAAUGAUCCAAGAUCAUUUUGUGCAACACAAACUACUUCUCAAAGAUAGAGUUAAUUUAUAGAUAAUACAAAGUUAAUAUAAAGUAAUCAGGUGAGUUAUAAAGUCAAUAUUUGAUGUGAUAUGACCUAUACAGAUGAUGAUGAUGUCAUUUAGGUUCAUCAACACGUCAACAAACUUGUAGACAUUAACAAGUACUAUCUUUUGUAAGUAUAACAUUUAUCCAUUGUGCACAUAGAUGACAUUUUGGUAUACAAUAAUACCUUAAAAAAGGUAUUAUAAUAUCCAUAUAAAGUACUCAUGAAAUUAAAAAUGUAUCAAUUGUUCUUCAACCCAAUUGAAUCAUCAACUUAUGACAAUUCAUAAACGUGUCUAGAAAAAAAAUGUUUCAAUACUUAGGUUUAUCUUCUAUCCAUAAGUAAAAUUACAUUAUAUGUAUAACAUUUGAUAGAGAUUUUUAUGGCACACACAAUAAUGAUAUAACACUACAUAUAAAGGUCAGACACAUGAGACAUGCAACAAUUGUGCAGCACGGCACAUGUAAAUGCAUGUAAAGUGAAUAUAUACAUGAGAGUUCAGGAUGGUAAUUAUAUAACCAGCUUCACAAGAACUAAGGAUGGUAUACCACAAUCAAGGUAGUGGUGGACCAAGCACACUAAAUAAAUAAAGUGUAUUAAGUGGAAGGUCAGAUUGUAUAACAAAUGUAGACCGCUCCUCUCCCAAAAAAGGAGAAUAUUAUUUUGGGAGGAGUGUAAGUGAUGUUGAAGUAAAAUGAUGAAAGAAUGGGGAGAGCUCUUUUAUAACAAGUGGGUGAAUUUGACCUAUUAGAGCAGGUCAUCUUUCGCGAGUUCUUGUAUUUUCACUUGAGAAGUUAAAUACUUACUUUUAGGGAGCAAGAGCUUUCUACAGCAACAAGUUAGAUUAUUUCGGCAUUACUGAAGAUAUCUAAGAGGGACACAUUACGUAGAGGUGAGGUAAACCGGAACAGUGGACCCAUCCCAGGAUACCUCUCUCUCUCUCUCUCUCUCUCUCUCUCUCUCUCUCUCUCUCUCUCUCUAGCUAGCUAGCUAGCUAGCAGUCUAUCUAUCUAUGUGAGAUGGGUGAAAUCAGGCGGUUUCUGAUGCUCCGAAGCGAGGGUUGGCGCGCAUCCCACACGUGCUGAAUGAGCCUCACAGCCACACACGUAAGCUAAGCCCGACGAAGCAGUGGCAGAGCCCCACCCCUUGAGAGCUCCUUGCUCCGCAAGGAAUCCCACCCUUGGACCAUCGCUGUCUCUCUCUCUGUCCUCCCCAUCUCUCUCAAAGACGCGGUCGUGGUCAAAGAUGAAGGCUCGUGUCUUAGUCUGGCAUGGGAAAGACAGUGGGAGGUGGGGCCUGCAAACGAACUAGCGCGCGCAUCGGAUCUGAAGACGACCAAUGGGAGGAGGAAGAGGGCCUCCAAGGUCGCCCCCACCCCCCAACAGCCGUCUCUCUCGAAAGACCCGAGCUUUCCGAAUAUUCUUCCGCCGUCGGGCACUGUGCGCCGGCGAUGGCCCCGUGACUCCCAGUCCAAGUGUUCCUCGACUCCCCUCCUCUGCCGUGCGGCGCAAGGAUCCGCCUCACCUCCCCCCACCACCCUUCAUUCCCCUCAUCCAUUAAACCGCAACCCCACCUCCUCCGCACACUCGCAGGAGGUGCAGAGGUGAGGCGACGGCUCCGUGCCGCAGAUUCUUCCUUCCCUCCCACCCUCUCUUCUCAUUCGGAGAAGGGUCGAGCCAUGGGCCUCCUCCCGGAGCCCUUCUUCCUGCGCGGGCUGUCCGCCUCGUGCCACCUCGGGCUACUGCUGCUCCUCUCCGUCGUCUGGUCUCGCAGGAUCUGCCGCCACGGGAGGUCCAACAAGAUCACUCAGGGCGGCCGAUUCCGGCUCUACACGGCGGCCCUCUUGUCCUCCCUCUGCCUGGCUCUCUUCUACCUCUCCCUCUCCGUUUUCAACUUCUUCUGGUUUCCGCACGGAAGAUGGUCGACCGAAGAACUCGCCGUGCAGGUCGACUUGGCCGCGAGGGCCGUCGCUUGGUCGGCGGCGUGCGCCUACCAGCGGGUCGAGUUCGCUCACUGGGAAGGGAGGAGAUUCCCGCUCUUCCUGAGGGCCUGGUGGCUCCUCUACCUUCUGCUGUCCUCCUCCUUCCUCCUCCUCGACCUCCUGUAUCAUCGGAGGCUCGGCGGUCUCCCCGUCCACCUCUGGGUGGCCGACGUUGGGUCGGCUCCCUUCGCCUUGCUCACGGGCUAUGCCGCGCUGUGUGGCGAAAGGGUGGAAGAAUACGAAGACUCCCGUGAGCCUCUCUUGAAUGGAGGCGCCGUCGACGGCCCGAAGAAGAGAGGGAGGGGAGAUACCGAGUCGCCGUUCUCAAGUGCCGGGAUCCUCAGUCUGCUCACCUUCUCCUGGAUGAACCCUCUGUUCUCUGUGGGCUACAGGAAAACCUUGGACCUAGACGACGUCCCGCAGCUUGCGGACAACGACAGAGUCGACGGGGUCUUCCCCAUUUUCAAAGAGAAGCUUGAAUCAUACGCCAGCCCUCAUGGCGGUAGCGGCGCUCGCCCGGGCGCCGACGACGAUAGGGGCGGAGUGAAGACUCUCCAUUUGGUGAAAGCCUUGGUGUUCUCUGCAUGGCCGCUGAUUCUGUGGACGGCGUUCUGCGCCCUCGUGUACACAGUGUCCAGCUACGUAGGUCCUUGGCUCAUCGACUCCUUCGUUCAGUUCCUCAAUGGCCGCCGGAGAACUCCGAACGAAGGGUACCUGCUCGUCACCGGCUUCAUCUUGGCGAAGAUCUUCGAGGGCCUUUCGCAGAGAUACUGGUUCUUCAGCUUGCAGCAGGCUGGGGUCAGGGUUAGGGCCUCCCUCGUGGCGAUGAUCUACCAGAAGGGCAUCGCCCUGUCGAGCAGCUCGCGGCAGGGGCGCACCAGUGGGGAGGUCAUCAACCUCAUGAGCGUCGACGCAGACAGAGUCGGGCUUUUCAGCUGGUACAUGCACGAUCUGUGGAUGGUGCCGAUUCAGGUCACUUUGGCCCUGCUCAUUCUGUACUCCAAUCUCGGCCUGGCCUCCCUCGCCGCCAUGGCGGCCACAGUUCUGGUCAUGCUGGCGAAUCUUCCGUUGGGCAAGAUGCAGGAGAGGUACCAGGAGAAGCUGAUGGCGUCCAAGGACACGAGGAUGAAGACCAUGGCGGAGAUCCUGAGGAACAUGAGGAUCCUCAAGCUCCAGGCCUGGGAGAUGAAGUUCCUGUCCAAGGUGGUCGAGCUGAGGAAGAAGGAGACCGGCUGGCUGAAGAAGUACGUCUACACGUCCGCCAUGAUCACCUUUGCCUUCUGGGGAGCCCCCACCUUCGUCUCCGUGGUCACCUUUGGGACCUGCAUGCUGAUGGGCAUCCCACUGGAGUCUGGGAAGGUCCUGUCGGCGCUCGCCACCUUCAGAGUCCUGCAGGAGCCCAUCUACAAUCUCCCGGACACCGUCUCCAUGGUCAUCCAGACCAAGGUCUCCCUCGACAGGUUAUCAACCUUCCUCAGGCUCGAGGAGCUGAAGCCCGACGUCGUCGAGAAGCUCCCCCGGGGAAGCACAGACGCCGUCGUCGAGGUAAAAGACGGGACCUUCUCUUGGGAUCCUUCGGCGGAGGAUGCCACCCUGAAGGACCUGAACUUCACCAUCCUCCGCGGCAUGACCGUCGCCGUCUGCGGCGGCGUCGGCUCCGGGAAGUCGACCUUGCUGUCCUGCAUCCUGGGGGAGGUGCCGAAGACUUCGGGGAGCAUCAGGCUGUGCGGGACGACCGCCUACGUAUCUCAGUCGCCAUGGAUUCAGAGCGGCAAGAUCGAGGAAAACAUUCUCUUCGGGAAGGAGAUGGAGAGGAGCAGGUACGAGCAGGUCCUGGAAGCGUGCUCCCUGAAGAAAGACCUGGAGAUUCUGCCCUUCGGAGACCAGACCGUCAUCGGCGAGAGGGGAAUCAACCUCAGCGGCGGGCAGAAGCAGAGAAUCCAGAUCGCCCGCGCCCUGUACCACGACGCCGAUGUCUUCCUCUUCGACGACCCCUUCAGCGCCGUCGACGCCCACACGGGAACCCAUCUCUUCAAGGUGCGGACUUUCUCCCUAUCCUCCUGUUUUUCUCGAUUCUUUCCGCUGAUGACGGGGCGGCUCACCGGACGGAGAUGGCUGGGUCUCUGACUGGAAAACAGGAGUGCCUGCUGGAGAUGCUCUCUUCGAAGACCGUCAUCUUUGUGACCCACCAGGUGGAGUUCUUGCCGUCCGCCGAUCUCAUUCUGGUGAGAGCACGCUCUUCUUCUUGCCUGUUUGCUUGCUUGCUUGCCUGCUGUGAUCGAACCGAGCGGCAAUGGCUUCAUCCUGCAAUCUCCGCAGGUUAUGAAGCAGGGGAGGAUCACCCAAGCGGGCAAGUACAGCGAUAUCCUCUGCCCGGGGACAGACUUCAUGGAGCUCGUCGGCGCCCACAGGGACGCCCUGUCGGCUCUCGACUCCGUGGACUUCUCCCCCGGAAGCGGCGUCGGCGGAAGCGCGGAAGACAAUCCGAAGGCGACGACCCACAACAAUGACAUCCACGGAGUCGAACAGAACGGCAAAGCGGGCGACGGCGCCGUCCCGGCGGGGCAGCUCGUGCAGGAGGAGGAGAGGGAGAAGGGAAGGGUCGACUUCUCCGUCUACUGGAGGUACUUGACGACGGCGUACAAGGGGGCGCUCGUGCCGUUCAUCCUGCUGGCGCAGAUCCUCUUCCAAGGCCUUCAGAUCGCCAGCAACUACUGGAUGGCCUGGGCGGCCCCCCCGGCGAAAGGCGCUCCUCCUCCGGUCAGCUCCUUCGCCCUCAUCGCCGUCUACGUGGGCCUGGCUCUGGGGAGCUCGCUCUGCGUUCUCUUCAGGGCCCUGCUCGUCGCCACGGCCGGGUACAAGACGGCGACCCUGCUCUUCAACAAGAUGCACGCCUGCAUCUUCCGGGCUCCGAUGGCCUUCUUCGAUUCUACGCCCAGCGGCCGCAUCCUGAACCGGGUGAGCGAUCGAUCACUCCCCUGUAGGUGUGAGAAGCGUUUACCUCCGAGCUCGGAUGAUCAGAGAGAGAGAGGUCCGUUUUUUCCGCAGGCAUCCACGGACCAGAGCGAGGUCGACACCUCCUUCGCCCCCCAGAUCGGCUCCUUCGCUUUCUCGGUGAUCCAGCUUCUCGGAAUCGUCGCCGUCAUGUCUCAGGUCGCCUGGCAGGUCUUCAUCGUCUUUGUCCCGGCGAUCGCCGUCUGCGUCUGGUACCAGGUGGGCACCUCGUCUCUCUACGCGCCGCAAUCGCCGAUAGUCAAAUCAAAUCUUCCGAUUCUCCGAGCAUCACCGUCGUCGGCGUGCAGCAAUACUACAUCUCGACGGCGCGGGAGCUGGCGAGGCUGGUCGGGGUGUGCAAGGCUCCGAUUAUACAGCAUUUCGCAGAGUCGCUGUCGGGGUCGACGACGAUCCGGAGCUUCGACCAGAAGGCGAGGUUCGUGGAGACGAACUUCCAUCUGAACGACCGAUACUCGAGCCCCAAGUUCCACAAUGCCGCGGCGAUGGAGUGGCUCUGCCUCCGCCUGGACGCACUAGCGACGGCCAUCUUCGCCUUCUCUCUGCUCUUCCUCGUCUCCGUCCCCGUGGGAACCAUCAGCCCGGGCAAGUGCAGCCUCCCGUUUCUCCGACCCUCCGCUGGCCCAGCGCCGCCGUGAAAAUGACCCUUUCCUCUCGUCUUCCUUCCGCAGCCAUCGCCGGCGUGGCCGUGAGCUACGGGCUGAACCUGAACAUGCUUCAAGCCUGGGUCAUCUGGAACCUCUGCAACCUCGAGAACAAGAUCAUCUCCGUGGAGAGGAUACUCCAGUACACGUCUAUUCCCAGCGAGCCUCCGCUCGCCGUCGAAUCCCACCGGCCCAACUCCAGCUGGCCGUCGCUGGGGGAGGUAGAAAUCCGCAGCCUGCAGGUCCGGUACGCGCCGCAGAUGCCCCUGGUGCUGAGAGGGUUGACCUGCGUCCUCCCGGGGGGGAAGAAGACGGGCAUCGUCGGGAGAACAGGGAGCGGCAAGUCCACUCUGAUCCAGACGCUCUUCCGGAUCGUUGACCCCUCCGCCGGCCAGAUCCUGAUCGACGGGACCGACAUCCAGACCGUGGGGCUGCACGACCUGAGAUCCCGGCUGGGGAUCAUCCCCCAGGACCCGACCAUGUUCGAGGGCACCCUCCGCAGCAACCUCGAUCCCCUGGAGGAGCACACAGACGAGGAGAUAUGGCAGGUGCCUGUUACUCCACCCCACCCUUCUCUCUCCUUCAUCCCCUCGCCUUCCGCCCUUCUUCUUCCUCCUCCUGAUUCCUGCUGCUGCUGCUGCUGCCGCUGCAGGCGUUGGACAGGUGCCAGCUUGGAGACGAAGUCAGGAGAAGAGAAGCAAGGCUCGACUCCUCAGGUUUCCAUCGUCCGCCUUGCUCUCUUCUGAUCGCGUCCCCUCCUCCCUCUGGUUUCUAUCUGGAUCGUGACAAUCGCCGCCGCCGGGUUUUCUUCCGCCAGUGACGGAGAACGGCGAGAACUGGAGCAUGGGCCAGCGGCAGCUGGUCUGCCUGGGGAGGGUCAUACUCAAGAGGAGCAAGAUCUUGGUCCUGGACGAAGCCACCGCCUCUGUGGACACGGCGACCGACAGCCUGAUACAGAAGACGCUGAGGCAGCAGUUCUCGGGCUCCACCGUCCUCACCAUCGCCCACAGGAUAACCUCCGUUCUGGACAGCGACAUGGUCCUCCUCCUCGACAACGGUUCGUAGCUCCUCUCUCUUCCGCGGCGCGGCCUUGCGGGACCGUUCUCUUUCUGAUCGGAGCCCGCCCCAUCGGGUGUUGCUGUGAUGCCAGGCGCCAUCGCAGAGUUCGACUCCCCCUCUCGACUGCUCGAGAACAAGUCGUCGCUGUUCGCCAAGCUCGUCUCGGAGUACAGCGUCAGGUCCAGCGCAAGCUUUGAGAGGCUGGACGAGCUCUGAAGCAGCGGAGGGCUUCUGCCCGCCGCUCCUCGGCCCAGAUCCGUCCCCCGGCGUCAUCUCUGCAACUGCACCGGAGACGCACGGGUCGUUCUUCUCCACCGCCGUGACCGUCCCGGCCAACGCUGCCUCUCUCUCGCGCGCGCGCUCUCGCUCCUCGACGGCGGUGGCUGGCCGUCCAGCACUUCGUCUCUCUCUCUCUCUCUCUCUCUCUCUCCGGCGCUGAAGUCGAUUGAUUUCCUUGUUUCUGGCCGGCUGGUACUGGUCCGAUCUCCUUCCAAGAUGACGGGAGGACGACAGUCCCUACCGUCUCCUUCCGGAUAGCCCCCACCUUCUCCCGCGUCGGACAAAAAGCCCGGGGGGACGUGGAAAAGUCAACAAUGGUCGCAUUUAACUUUGAUCUGGGCCCCGAGGAAAAAGGCUCCCAUUAAGACACGUGUCAAACGGACUUUUUGCCACUUGAAGGAGUUGCUCCUCUGAUUUCGUGCCACGCGUCCUUCCAGCCGGUCUUGGUAGUCUGGAGGAGCAUUUAUAUAAUUGGCCGCGUGGCGCCGUCUCGAUACCCCAAGGGAAAGCCACGUGACGCAGACGUCGCCGCAUGCCGUGUUCUCGUAAUUUGGCUCGACAAAAUUGGCGGCGAAACCGCCGCCGUGUAUCGGCGAGGGAGCUGGAGGCCGCCUCCAGGCGGCGGCGGAGCGGCGGCUCGAGGGACUUGCGGAGUCGCAGAUCAUCGGCUUCAGGUGGCCGGUUGAAUGGAUUACAGACAGAGUCACAGAUCACACGGGGAGAGGAGAAGAUNNNNNNNNNNNNNNNNNNNNNNNNNNNNNNNNNNNNNNNNNNNNNNNNNNNNNNNNNNNNNNNNNNNNNNNNNNNNNNNUCGGCGACGGCGACGGCGCCGGAGCUCCGGCCGUCCAUCCCUGUGUACUAUUCCUUCCUUUAGACGGAGCCUUCCGCGUUGGCGCUGCUCGUGGAUCCCCUCCGGCCGACUGAGGUAUUCUUCAGUAUCUGCCGACACAACGGAGAAGGUGAGAGAUCGGAACCUGCCCGCCCGCCGUUAGCAUCGUCUGCCCUAGAAGUGGGGUUGAUGGGCGGCGCCACGCAGUGGAAACGAAGCCGCGGGGGAAAAUAGUAGACCAGCGGGGUCAUGGCCGCCCACCCCCCACCAGAUCCCGGACAUUCUCCGGGACACGACAUCGACAAGUGGAGGCGUGGGCCAGUUGACUGAGACAGGAUUGGACAGCUGUCGUGGUGGAUCUCGCCAUGGCGGCGAAGACCCAGCCGGAGAAGAACCAUACGGAGGGGAAACCAGGACGGAGCGAGGGGAGGGAGAGACUUUUCACGUACGUGUCUGAGCAUCUGGUUCUCGUUCUGGAGGGUGGAGAGGCGCUCCUCCAGCUCGGAGUUGCGCUUCUCGAGCUCCUUCACCUUCGCCUCGAGGUCGUUCAGGUAGGCCUUCUUCCUCUCUCGGGCCUGCUGCGCUGACACCCUGUUCCUCAGCAACCUGCCACCCCGGAGGACAGAGCGAGAGGGAGAGAGAGAGAGAGAUUGAGAGAACGAUCUUGGGAGGAGCCUCUGCUGGACGAUGGGGGCCUUCAAUGGACUGGCAGGUUCUCACCUCUUGAGGCGUUUGUGCUCCUUGUCAGCGGGAUCUCUGCCCCUCUUCCGCUGCAGGCCGGCCUCGGAGGAGGCAGCCUGCCUCCGCUCCGUCGCCGCCGCCGAGGACACCUCCCUCCCGGAGAUGGACGUCCCCGCCGGUGGCUCUCCUCCGAAAUCCGGCACCCUCCUGAUCUCGUCGUCGCUCUCUAUACCUGCGUCGAUUAAAAAAAAACGGAUUUCCAGCAAAAGAAAUCUCAGAGAUCAGCGCCGGAAUCGAAACCCAGGUGACGGAUUCUUGCGGGAGAAGAAAUCGACGCGUGAACUAGAGAGAGAAAGAGAGAGAGGAAAUGAAGAAAGGAGCAAUUCGUCGGAAUCGAAGGAAACCUGUCGCGGAGAUUUUUCAAAAGAGGACAAAGAAGAUCCAAAGUCCAAGGAGAGAUCUCCUCUCCCGGCGGUAAGUAAGCCAAGGCGAAAACCCUACUCCUCGACCCAAAUCGGAGAAAGCGGGACGGGGGAUGUCACCUUCUUUCACCUGGUGCACCGCCGAACUCGACGACCUCUCGCUGCUCGACGGCAGCGAGCUCGUCGCCUGCUCCUGCAUUCUGUCCCACCACGAUCCCUACUCAAGCGCGCCCUGCAGGUGGCGAUGGAGCUCGCUGGAGCGGGGAGAGACGCAGCCCAGAGAGAGAGAGAGAGAGAGAGAGAAGACGACAGAGAAAAGGGAUUCAGC
RNAcentral lists this long non-coding RNA (16461 nucleotides) under Spirodela polyrhiza (greater duckweed). Its description in RNAcentral is "long non-coding RNA (SPOL_LNC001399)". The record is from RNAcentral. Lineage: Eukaryota; Viridiplantae; Streptophyta; Magnoliopsida; Alismatales; Araceae.